UUUGAUGACAUAAAAGAGGUGAAGAAAAGGCAAGAUAAGAAUGUGCCUUUUGAUGAGUGGACUUCAUCUUUCUACAUUGAAGAGCGGAGUUUCUACCUUUAAGGAAUAAGAAGCCACUAUUAUCAAUGGGGAGGGUGGGAGGGUAUUUAAGUCUCAUGUAUUAUGAUGACCUAAUUUGUUGCAAUAAGCACUAUAUCCAUUUCUUUUACUUUGUAUGUAUAGAAGUACUCUAAUGGCUCAGAGUUGUUAGGGAUCAACUGUACUAGCGUAGAAUUUUUUUUUUAAUUACUUGCGGAGCAGGGUGUUUUCUGCUACUUAUCAUAUUAUUAUAAACUACUUACUUUUAUGUCCUAAUCAGUUGAUGUUAAUUUUCUUGUAUUGGUAUCAUUAUUUAAAGAACUAUAAAUUUCAGCAUCUAACUGAUGUAUAUAAAAUUGGAUUUUUUUUUUUUUUUACCAAACUGUAUUUCCCUUGGAGGGCGGGAGGUUAAAGCCAGAUUUAUUACUUUGUCUUUGAAUUUUUAAAAAAAUAAUAAAUAUGUUGUAACUACAACAAUAAAUAUGAUUUCAAAGUC
This is a long non-coding RNA of Echinops telfairi (small Madagascar hedgehog), 574 nucleotides long. RefSeq lists it as uncharacterized. NCBI's taxonomy places the organism in Eukaryota, Metazoa, Chordata, Mammalia, Afrosoricida, Tenrecidae. The record is from RefSeq and is a predicted model, not a curated record. The transcript is spliced from 2 exons.